RNAcentral lists this ribosomal RNA (529 nucleotides) under uncultured archaeon. RNAcentral describes it as "bacterial SSU rRNA". It matches the Rfam family "Archaeal small subunit ribosomal RNA", at positions 350 to 879 of the family's 1478-position model. The record is from RNAcentral.
UUACACUUCUGGCAACAGCGAUAAGGGGACCUCGAGUGCCAGGAUACAAUCUUGGCUGUCGCGAUGCCUAAAAAGCAUUGCAUAGCAAGGGCCGGGCAAGACCGGUGCCAGCCGCCGCGGUAACACCGGCGGCUCGAGUGGUAACCGCUAUUAUUGGGUCUAAAGGGUCUGUAGCCGGCCGGAUAAGUCUUUUGGGAAAUCCAGCUGCUCAACAGUUGGGCUUUCAGAAGAUACUGUUCGGCUCGAGACCGGGAGAGGUGAGAGGUACUUCAGGGGUAGGGGUGAAAUCUUGUAAUCCUUGAAGGACCACCAGUGGCGAAGGCGUCUCACCAGAACGGAUCUGACGGCAAGGGACGAAAGCUAGGGGCACGAACCGGAUUAGAUACCCGGGUAGUCCUAGCCGUAAACGAUACUCGCUAGGUGUCAGCCACGGUGCGACCGUGGUUGGUGCCGUAGGGAAGCCGUGAAGCGAGCCACCUGGGAAGUACGGCCGCAAGGCUGAAACUUAAAGGAAUUGGCGGGGGAGCAC